GCCGGUGCAGUGCUCGUGCCGUAGUCCCAGCUACUCAGGAGGCUAAGGUGGGGGAUCACUUGAGCCAGGAGCUCUAGGCUGUAGUGCGCUAUAGCCGAUCGGGUGUCGCACUAAGUUCAGCAUCAAUAUAGUGACCUCCCAGGGUGGGCGACCACCAGGUUGCUAAGGAGGGGUGAACCAGCCCAGGUCUGAAAUGGGAGCAGGUCAAAACUCCCGUGCUGAUCAGGAAUCACGCCUGUGAAUAGCCACUGAACUCCAGCCUGGCAACAUAGUGAGAUCCCGUCUCU
RNAcentral lists this signal recognition particle RNA (287 nucleotides) under Aotus nancymaae (Ma's night monkey). RNAcentral's name for it is "Metazoan signal recognition particle RNA (ENSANAG00000009265.1)". It matches the Rfam family "Metazoan signal recognition particle RNA". Rfam says of the family: The signal recognition particle (SRP) is a universally conserved ribonucleoprotein. The record is from RNAcentral. Lineage: Eukaryota; Metazoa; Chordata; Mammalia; Primates; Aotidae.